Molecule: ribosomal RNA, 442 nt
Filed under: Bacillus mycoides
Lineage: Bacteria; Bacillati; Bacillota; Bacilli; Caryophanales; Bacillaceae
Description: bacterial SSU rRNA
Rfam family: Bacterial small subunit ribosomal RNA
Source: RNAcentral
GUAGGGAAUCUUCCGCAAUGGACGAAAGUCUGACGGAGCAACGCCGCGUGAGUGAUGAAGGCUUUCGGGUCGUAAAACUCUGUUGUUAGGGAAGAACAAGUGCUAGUUGAAUAAGCUGGCACCUUGACGGUACCUAACCAGAAAGCCACGGCUAACUACGUGCCAGCAGCCGCGGUAAUACGUAGGUGGCAAGCGUUAUCCGGAAUUAUUGGGCGUAAAGCGCGCGCAGGUGGUUUCUUAAGUCUGAUGUGAAAGCCCACGGCUCAACCGUGGAGGGUCAUUGGAAACUGGGAGACUUGAGUGCAGAAGAGGAAAGUGGAAUUCCAUGUGUAGCGGUGAAAUGCGUAGAGAUAUGGAGGAACACCAGUGGCGAAGGCGACUUUCUGGUCUGUAACUGACACUGAGGCGCGAAAGCGUGGGGAGCAAACAGGAUUAGAUACCC